This 157-nucleotide non-coding RNA is filed under the name Hyphomicrobiales bacterium. Its description in RNAcentral is "6S RNA". It matches the Rfam family "6S / SsrS RNA". From Rfam's summary of the family: E. coli 6S RNA was the first non coding RNA to be sequenced, but its function was unknown until recently. The record is from RNAcentral. Lineage: Bacteria; Pseudomonadati; Pseudomonadota; Alphaproteobacteria; Hyphomicrobiales.
UCGAAGCUGCGCUUCUCGUGCAUCGGCAUUUUCCCUGGGGCCUUACCGAUCCUUAAGGGAGCUGUCCCUGGACCGGUCCGUGGACCGGACUACACGGCGCCCACCUACUUUGUAGGUUUCCCAGGAUCGACGCUGACACGGUUGUUGCGGCUUCACU